GACGAACGCUGGCGGCGUGCUUAACACAUGCAAGUCGAACGGAAAGGCCCUGCUUUUGUGGGGUGCUCGAGUGGCGAACGGGUGAGUAACACGUGAGUAACCUGCCCUUGACUUUGGGAUAACUUCAGGAAACUGGGGCUAAUACCGGAUAGGAGCUCCUGCUGCAUGGUGGGGGUUGGAAAGUUUCGGCGGUUGGGGAUGGACUCGCGGCUUAUCAGCUUGUUGGUGGGGUAGUGGCUUACCAAGGCUUUGACGGGUAGCCGGCAUGAGAGGGUGACCGGCCACAUGAGGACUGCGGUACGGACCAGACUCCUACGGGAGGCAGCAGUGGGGAAUAUUGCACAAUGGGAGGAAGCCGGAUGCAGCAACGCCGCGUGCGGGAUGACGGCCUUCGGGUUGUAAACCGCUUUCGCCUGUGACGAAGCGUGAGUGACGGUAAUGGGUAAAGAAGCACCGGCUAACUACGUG
This 468-nucleotide ribosomal RNA is filed under the name uncultured bacterium. RNAcentral describes it as "partial 16S ribosomal RNA". It matches the Rfam family "Bacterial small subunit ribosomal RNA", at positions 28 to 507 of the family's 1533-position model. The record is from RNAcentral.